AGAUUGAACGCUGGCGGCGUGCCUAACACAUGCAAGUCGAACGAGAAAGUGGAGCAAUCCAUGAGUAAAGUGGCGCACGGGUGAGUAACACGUGACUAACCUACCCUUGAGUGGGGGAUAACCUAGGGAAACCUGGGCUAAUACCGCAUAAUACCUUCGGGUCAAAGGAGCAAUUCGCUUAAGGAGGGGGUCGCGGCCGAUUAGUUAGUUGGCGGGGUAAUGGCCCACCAAGACUGUGAUCGGUA
Molecule: ribosomal RNA, 245 nt
Filed under: uncultured bacterium
Lineage: Bacteria
Description: partial small subunit ribosomal RNA
Rfam family: Bacterial small subunit ribosomal RNA
Source: RNAcentral